AAUAUUGCACAAUGGGCGCAAGCCUGAUGCAGCGACGCCGCGUGGGGGAUGACGGCCUUCGGGUUGUAAACCUCUUUCACCAUCGACGAAGGUCCGGGUCUUCUCGGAUUGACGGUAGGUGGAGAAGAAGCACCGGCCAACUACGUGCCAGCAGCCGCGGUAAUACGUAGGGUGCGAGCGUUGUCCGGAAUUACUGGGCGUAAAGAGCUCGUAGGUGGUUUGUCGCGUUGUUCGUGAAAUCUCACGGCUUAACUGUGAGCGUGCGGGCGAUACGGGCAGACUAGAGUACUGCAGGGGAGACUGGAAUUCCUGGUGUAGCGGUGGAAUGCGCAGAUAUCAGGAGGAACACCGGUGGCGAAGGCGGGUCUCUGGGCAGUAACUGACGCUGAGGAGCGAAAGCGUGGGGAGCGA
This 411-nucleotide ribosomal RNA is filed under the name uncultured Mycobacterium sp. Its description in RNAcentral is "bacterial SSU rRNA". It matches the Rfam family "Bacterial small subunit ribosomal RNA", at positions 360 to 771 of the family's 1533-position model. Lineage: Bacteria; Bacillati; Actinomycetota; Actinomycetes; Mycobacteriales; Mycobacteriaceae. The record is from RNAcentral.